AAGUCGUAACAAGGUCUCCGUUGGUGAACCAGCGGAGGGAUCAUUACAGAGUUGCAAAACUCCCAACCCUUUGUGAACGUACCUACCAGUUGCUUCGGCGGAAGACCCUCUCGGGGGCGGCCCGCCGGAGGCAUUCAAACAUCUGUAUUUUUGGCAUCUCUGAGUUAACUAUAAAAUAAGUUAAAACUUUCAACAACGGAUCUCUUGGUUCUG
This 213-nucleotide unclassified non-coding RNA is filed under the name fungal sp. Its description in RNAcentral is "partial internal transcribed spacer region". The stretch from base 1 to 46 matches the Rfam family "Eukaryotic small subunit ribosomal RNA", at positions 1786 to 1831 of the family's 1831-position model. RNAcentral also lists the same sequence under 1 other name. The record is from RNAcentral. Lineage: Eukaryota; Fungi.